Molecule: ribosomal RNA, 433 nt
Filed under: uncultured bacterium
Lineage: Bacteria
Description: partial 16S ribosomal RNA
Rfam family: Bacterial small subunit ribosomal RNA
Source: RNAcentral
AACGAACGCUGGCGGCAUGCCUAACACAUGCAAGUCGAACGAGACAUUCGGGUCUAGUGGCGCACGGGUGCGUAACGCGUGGGAACCUGCCCUUAGGUUCGGAAUAACUCCCCGAAAGGGGUGCUAAUACCGGAUAAUGUCUUCGGACCAAAGAUUUAUCGCCUUUGGAUGGGCCCGCGUUGGAUUAGCUAGUUGGUAGGGUAAAAGCCUACCAAAGCGACGAUCCAUAGCUGGUCUGAGAGGAUGAUCAGCCACACUGGGACUGAGACACGGCCCAGACUCCUACGGGAGGCAGCAGUGGGGAAUAUUGGACAAUGGGCGAAAGCCUGAUCCAGCAAUGCCGCGUGAGUGAUGAAGGCCUUAGGGUUGUAAAGCUCUUUUACCCGGGAUGAUAAUGACAGUACCGGGAGAAUAAGCUCCGGCUAACUCCGUG